CCUACGGGAGGCAGCAGUGGGGAAUAUUGGGCAAUGGGCGCAAGCCUGACCCAGCAACGCCGCGUGAAGGAAGAAGGCUUUCGGGUUGUAAACCUCUUUUAAGAUGGAAGAGCAGAAGACGGUACCUCUUGAAUAAGCCACGGCUAACUACGUGCAAGCAGCCGCGGUAAUACUUAGGUGGCAAGCGUUGUCCGGAUGUACUGGGUGUAAAGGGCGUGCAGGCGGGAAGACAAGUCAGAUGUGAAAGCCGGCGGCUCAACCGCGGAACUGCAUUUGAAACUGGUUUUCUUGAGUACAGGAGAGGGAACCGGAAUUCCUUGUGUAGCGGUGAAAUGCGUAGAUAUAAGGAGGAACACCAGUGGCGAAGGCGGAUGACUGGACGGCAACUGACGGUGAGGCGCGAAAGCGUGGGGAGCAAACAGGAUUAGAUACCCGUGUAGUC
RNAcentral lists this ribosomal RNA (442 nucleotides) under uncultured bacterium. RNAcentral describes it as "partial 16S ribosomal RNA". It matches the Rfam family "Bacterial small subunit ribosomal RNA", at positions 338 to 795 of the family's 1533-position model. The record is from RNAcentral.